Molecule: ribosomal RNA, 209 nt
Filed under: uncultured bacterium
Lineage: Bacteria
Description: partial 16S ribosomal RNA
Rfam family: Bacterial small subunit ribosomal RNA
Source: RNAcentral
AAUCCUGGCUCAGAUUGAACGCUGGCGGAACGCUUUACACAUGCAAGUCGAACGGUAACGUGGGGAGGAGCUUGCUCCACCCCGACGACGAGUGGCGAACGGGUGAGUAAUACAUCGGAACGUGUCCGCUCGUGGGGGACAACCAGCCGAAAGGUUGGCUAAUACCGCAUGAGUUCUACGGAAGAAAGAGGGACCGGCCAGGACGUCUC